Molecule: long non-coding RNA, 1255 nt
Organism: Talpa occidentalis (Iberian mole)
Lineage: Eukaryota; Metazoa; Chordata; Mammalia; Eulipotyphla; Talpidae
Exons: 5
Source: RefSeq, a predicted model, not a curated record
GUUUCCAUGCCCGGAACCCUGUCUCCUCUGUUCCUUGGAAUUAGAAUGACGUCCCUGUGACAAUGCCCACCCCAGUCCUGUGGGUCCUGGUGCUAAGACUGCUGGGGGUCCCACCACCUGGUGAUGUGUCGAAUGCCGUGAGUUCCUCAUUUAGGAGCGUGGUUGCCAGGGCUGCCGAUGGCUCCAGGCUGGGCUGCGAAUCCCCCAACUAGAGCACAGUUUGCUGUGUCGGGACGGGUGUUCGUCAGAGAAAUGGCGCUUGAAGAGCUGUGGGACAUUUGUGUUGAACGUGUUGGAAGGCCUGGGAUGCAGCCCACAUUUACCGGCUGGGAGACCAAUGCCAGGCAUUUAAAUGGUAACAACUGCUACAUCGUUCUGGUCGCCAGCCAUGGCUGGCAUUGGGUGAAUGCCCAGUGCCUGUCUCAGUGCCCGAGUAGCCAGCCAGGAGCAGGUGCUUCUGAGGUUAUUGCCAUGACACAGAACAACGCCCGGCGUGAUUCCACGACAGUGGAUUUCUUGUCUCACUGGAUUCCUUGCUGCUCUGGCAGAGCAUCCCCGCUGGAAGAAGGGCUGCCGUUUGGAGGACCUUCAUUUUGUGAGCAGACUAUUUAUUGAUAAUACAUCUGUAAGAAUGUAUAUCUGCGAAUAAAGGCACUGCGCAGGUUUCUGUCUCUUUGGGCCGAUGCAGUUUUCCCUGUCCCAGAGCCUGGUGCACAUCGUUGUGGUGUGAUAUUUGGAAGCAGAACGAGGAUGGUGAAAAGCAUCAUAACGGCACCAUCAGCACCUUGUGACCAGAGGGACACCCGCCCUCAGCACAGGGACUGGAAUCUUCUGCAGAACAUACACACGUCCUGCUCUGAAAGGAAAACGCAUUGGGGGAUGUGCUCCUCCUGGUCUCUAAAACCCUCUUGAAUUCAGUCUUCUGUUACUUCCUGAGGGGACAGAACUUGUCCAUUCCGCUUCUUUGCCCAUGGCUGAGUGGACACCUCAUUAACUUUCCUUCUGUGAAUGUGAGGCGCCCCUUCCAGAGCCCACAGACAGCUUUGUUUCCACAUACCUGCCGCCUGCCUUACGAGACCCCAAAUCAAAAUGAAGUAAAUGAAAUCAUUUGAGAUGCUAUUGCUUCAUUUGUCACUUUAAAAAAAAAAAAGAUUUAUAUAUUUAUGCAUACAAGAACUGGGGCACAGGUCAGAGGUGUGGGGGUGAGAGGACUCACCAGAGACACAGUGGGGAGUAGAACAGGCAGACUGACUGA